UUUAAGAUGGCAGAUUAGUGUAUUGGUUUUAAACUCCAAAAAUAAAGUAUUUAACUUUUCUUAAAA
This 66-nucleotide transfer RNA is filed under the name Curculionoidea sp. 18 KM-2017. RNAcentral describes it as "tRNA-Leu". It matches the Rfam family "tRNA". From Rfam's summary of the family: Transfer RNA (tRNA) molecules are approximately 80 nucleotides in length. Their secondary structure includes four short double-helical elements and three loops (D, anti-codon, and T loops). Further hydrogen bonds mediate the characteristic L-shaped molecular structure. tRNAs have two regions of fundamental functional importance: the anti-codon, which is responsible for specific mRNA codon recognition, and the 3' end, to which the tRNAs corresponding amino acid is attached (by aminoacyl-tRNA synthetases). tRNAs cope with the degeneracy of the genetic code in two manners: having more than one tRNA (with a specific anti-codon) for a particular amino acid; and 'wobble' base-pairing, i.e. permitting non-standard base-pairing at the 3rd anti-codon position. The record is from RNAcentral. Lineage: Eukaryota; Metazoa; Arthropoda; Insecta; Coleoptera.